GAGAUGAUAGAAGUUUUUAUGUAGUCAGCACUUAGGAACAGAUUAAUUGCAUGUUGCUAAGAUAUUAAACAGGCCUUUUCUGAAAAAAGAUAGGGAAGGUCGGCAUACCAAUUACAUCCCUAUAUCAUCUUUUACAAGUACAACAUGUAUUUUUGUGCAUGCAUAUGCCUUGUUAUGAAUGCACACUUGUUAUGAAUGUACUAUUUGUCUAAUCCUGCAUUGUCUUUUAAUUCUAUCAUGGUUAAUGCAUUCUUAUAAUAUUUUAUACAUCCAUUAAUAGGAGGUAUGUUGGGAUAAACUCGCACACAAACACAAAUAAUAAUGCCACUGGUACAAAUGGAUACCAGAAUCGUACCUUCAACGCAGAACGAAAGAAAAAAUAUAGGGA
Molecule: long non-coding RNA, 388 nt
Filed under: Elaeis guineensis (African oil palm)
Lineage: Eukaryota; Viridiplantae; Streptophyta; Magnoliopsida; Arecales; Arecaceae
Description: long non-coding RNA (EGUI_LNC019481)
Source: RNAcentral